This 457-nucleotide ribosomal RNA is filed under the name uncultured Geobacter sp. RNAcentral's name for it is "bacterial SSU rRNA". It matches the Rfam family "Bacterial small subunit ribosomal RNA", at positions 927 to 1382 of the family's 1533-position model. The record is from RNAcentral. Lineage: Bacteria; Pseudomonadati; Thermodesulfobacteriota; Desulfuromonadia; Geobacterales; Geobacteraceae.
AAGCGGUGGAGCAUGUGGUUUAAUUCGAUGCAACGCGAAGAACCUUACCUGGGCUUGACAUCCCGGGAAUCCCUUGGAAACAAGGGAGUGCCCUUCGGGGAACCUGGAGACAGGUGCUGCAUGGCUGUCGUCAGCUCGUGUCGUGAGAUGUAGGGUUAAGUCCCCGCAACGAGCGCAACCCUUGUCUUUAAUUGCCAUCAUUGAGUUGGGCACUUUAAAGAGACUGCCGGUGUUAAACCGGAGGAAGGUGGGGAUGACGUCAAGUCCUCAUGGCCCUUACAUCCCGGGCUACACACGUGCUACAAUGGCAGGUACAGAGGGCUGCGAAGCCGCGAGGUGGAGCGAAUCCCAGAAAACCUGUCUCAGUCCGGAUUGAAGUCUGCAACUCGACUUCAUGAAGGCGGAAUCGCUAGUAACCGCGAAUCAGCAGGUCGCGGUGAAUACGUUCCCGGGCCUU